Molecule: long non-coding RNA, 486 nt
Filed under: Homo sapiens (human)
Lineage: Eukaryota; Metazoa; Chordata; Mammalia; Primates; Hominidae
Description: HSALNT0237582
Source: RNAcentral
GACACUAAAACCUCUGGUUUGUAGGAGGGCCUGUCACUAAACACACUUAGCAAAUCGAUGAAGAUCUUGUAGCAACACUUCGCCCUCUGAGAUCCAGUUGCAUCCAUCUGUCCCUUUUGUUAUCAUUUCAUCCAGAAACCAACUGUCUGAAGACUCUUGCAUUUUCAAAAAUGGAUAAAAUGGUUAUCCACUAAAAACAAAAUCCAUGACUGAUGGUAAGUUUCUUUCCCUGGUGUAUACAAACCUCAACUGGAGAUUCCUGGCUGGAUGGACAUGGGGGCUGAGGCUGCUGUAGCCCUCUUUUAUUGCUAGUCUGCCUCCCCACCGUGGCUCAGAGUUGUACACCUGUUCCAAGUAGCUGAGGAUUCAUGGGAUGUUUGCAGCAGCUGAACACUCCUCACAAAUGCUCUGGAAGGAAUGCACAUGUCUCAAGAAGUUAUUGAAUCUUUUUUUUUUUUCAUUUUCUAAGGAAUUCUUCUAAAAAGC